CAAUGAGUGUUUUAUGGCACUCUUUAAAAAUCCAUAUCCACCUUGUGUGCAAUGUCAGUCGAUCUUCUUCAUGGAGUUCGACCAAACAUCAACCUUAUUUUUUAACUCUUUGUCUGAAAAAUAUUAUGAAUAAACAAUUCAAAAUA
Molecule: unclassified non-coding RNA, 146 nt
Filed under: uncultured Mortierella
Lineage: Eukaryota; Fungi; Mortierellomycota; Mortierellomycetes; Mortierellales; Mortierellaceae
Description: sequence contains ITS1
Source: RNAcentral